GCCGUCGGCCGGGCCGCCGGGAGCGGUCGCCGCGUAGGACCCGGCGAGCGCCGCGAUCGUGUCGAGGUCGACGGUGCC
RNAcentral lists this transfer RNA (78 nucleotides) under Curtobacterium luteum. RNAcentral describes it as "tRNA-Pro". The record is from RNAcentral. Lineage: Bacteria; Bacillati; Actinomycetota; Actinomycetes; Micrococcales; Microbacteriaceae.